CCUACGGGAGGCAGCAGUGGGGAAUAUUGCACAAUGGGGGAAACCCUGAUGCAGCAACGCCGCGUGAAGGACGACGGUUCUCGGAUUGUAAACUCCUGUUCUUAGUGAAGAAUAAUGACGGUAGCUAAGGAGCAAGCCACGGCUAACUACGGGCCAGCAGCCGCGGUAAUACGUAGGUGGCAAGCGUUGUCCGGAAUUACUGGGUGUAAAGGGAGCGCAGGCGGGAAGCCAAGUCGGCUGUGAAAACUACGGGCGUAAAUUGUAGACCGCAGUUGAAACUGGUUUUCUUGAGUGAAGGAGAGGUUGGCGGAAUGCCGGGUGUAGCGGUGAAAUGCGUAGAUAUUCGGAGGAACACCGGUGGCGAAGGCGGCCAACUGGGCUUUAACUGACGCUGAGGCUCGAAAGUGUGGGGAGCGAACAGGAUUAGAUACCCCAGUAGUC
This 441-nucleotide ribosomal RNA is filed under the name uncultured bacterium. RNAcentral describes it as "partial 16S ribosomal RNA". It matches the Rfam family "Bacterial small subunit ribosomal RNA", at positions 338 to 795 of the family's 1533-position model. The record is from RNAcentral.